UUGAACGCUGGCGGCAUGCCUUACACAUGCAAGUCGCACGGCAGCACGGGUGCUUGCACCUGGUGGCGAGUGGCGAACGGGUGAGUAAUACAUCGGAACAUGUCCUGUAGUGGGGGAUAGCCCGGCGAAAGCCGGAUUAAUACCGCAUACGAUCUACGGAUGAAAGCGGGGGACCUUCGGGCCUCGCGCUAUAGGGUUGGCCGAUGGCUGAUUAGCUAGUUGGUGGGGUAAAGGCCUACCAAGGCGACGAUCAGUAGCUGGUCUGAGAGGACGACCAGCCACACUGGGACUGAGACACGGCCCAGACUCCUACGGGAGGCAGCAGUGGGGAAUUUUGGACAAAGGGCGAAAGCCUGAUCCAGCAAUGCCGCGUGUGUGAAGAAGGCCUUCGGGUUGUAAAGCACUUUUGUCCGGAAAGAAAUCCUUGGCCCUAAUACGGUCGGGGGAUGACGGUACCGGAAGAAUAAGCACCGGCUAACUACGUG
This 485-nucleotide ribosomal RNA is filed under the name uncultured bacterium. RNAcentral's name for it is "partial 16S ribosomal RNA". It matches the Rfam family "Bacterial small subunit ribosomal RNA", at positions 30 to 507 of the family's 1533-position model. The record is from RNAcentral.